AUUGAACGCUGGCGGCAUGCCUAACACAUGCAAGUCGAACGCGAAAGUCCUUCGGGGCGAGUAGAGUGGCGGACGGGUGAGUAAUGCGUGGGAAUCUACCUGGUAGUGGGGGACAACCCGGGGAAACUCGGGCUAAUACCGCAUAUGUCCUACGGGACAAAGGGGGCCUCUGCUUGCAAGCUCUCGCUACCAGAUGAGCCCACGUCCGAUUAGCUAGUUGGUAGGGUAAAGGCCUACCAAGGCGACGAUCGGUAGCUGGUCUGAGAGGAUGGCCAGCCACACUGGGACUGAGACACGGCCCAGACUCCUACGGGAGGCAGCAGUGGGGAAUAUUGGACAAUGGGCGCAAGCCUGAUCCAGCAAUGCCGCGUGUGUGAAGAAGGCCUGCGGGUUGUAA
This 397-nucleotide ribosomal RNA is filed under the name uncultured bacterium. Its description in RNAcentral is "bacterial SSU rRNA". It matches the Rfam family "Bacterial small subunit ribosomal RNA", at positions 30 to 428 of the family's 1533-position model. The record is from RNAcentral.